AUGAGCACCAGUAUCUGGAAGUACCAAGUCUCGAGGCAGAGCAUGAUAGCGGAGGCAAGGGACAGCUUGAAAAACUCAGGCAAGCCGGAGAACGCCUGGAGGGAGAAUCCAGUCCAAGUGAGGCGGCACCGGCUGCUGGUGACGAUGUAUACAAACUGCCCAAUGACGAUAAUCCACCAGCUGAUGCUGAGCAUGAGCGAGGCGCCCAGAAGCCCCAGCCCAAACUUGUAG
This 231-nucleotide ribosomal RNA is filed under the name Triticum aestivum (bread wheat). RNAcentral's name for it is "partial small subunit ribosomal RNA". The record is from RNAcentral. Lineage: Eukaryota; Viridiplantae; Streptophyta; Magnoliopsida; Poales; Poaceae.